Molecule: long non-coding RNA, 774 nt
Organism: Canis lupus familiaris (dog)
Lineage: Eukaryota; Metazoa; Chordata; Mammalia; Carnivora; Canidae
Exons: 2
Source: RefSeq, a predicted model, not a curated record
UUCUGUUCCAUUGACCUGAAGUUCCACUCUUAUUUCAAUUGGACCUUCAAAAUGCACUAGUAACUGAGACGAUUUUUAUAUAAUUUCAUGGAAGGCACAAAGCACAUGCUGCCUCCUCUGCCCAGAGACACAACAGCCUCUGGUGAUUCACAGGCCCUUUCUGGCCACAGCCAAGGCCAUGGGGACGAGGGUACACGGGGAAGGGGGCCGGAGACUGAGCGCCAUAGAAACUGCUGAAGCACAAGAUGUAAGAGUUUCCACGCUCAGGAAGAUCCAGGGCUUCCUGGAGCCUGGCGUGCCCCCUGGAGGACUUGCUCUCAGCGUGCCCAUGCGCCUGCCCCUGGUCACAGCUGGGACACAGAGAAAGGACCUGAGGAGCUCAGGCCCACGGCAGGUGGUUAUUCAAGUCUCAUGUGCAUUCUGUGUUCUGAGCAGAGGUUGAGCUCGGUGGGAGAGAUGGGCUGGGCACUGCCCUCACGGGUGGCACACGGUGCCUCCUGGAGCCCCCGACCAAGAUGCCAGGGAGCUCCCACACCUGGAUCCCGAGGCCUCCCCCACAUGAGGCACCCUGCCAGAGAUGGUGGGUUUGGACUAUCCCCCUUUUAAAAGGAACUUGGGGGUACAGCUCAAAGGAACCAUAAACACACUUAAAACAAGCAAAUUCUUCAGCAUUUCAUCCAAUUCAGUAGAUUUCAAAAAACAAACCUCACAUGAAAUCAGUGAAUCAAUCACCUGGUAUUUGUAACUAAAUUAAAAGUCUGCCAUUUGGUAUCA